UUAAGUAAAUAAAUCUUUAAGAAAGAAAGAGAGAGGGGGGAAGAGAGAGAGAGAGAGAGGUUCCCAACUUUGCUUCCCAUGCGGUAAUGUACUUAAAGCACCGCAGCUCAUUGUCACACACUAGUCAGAAUGUCCUAAAUGCAAAGGCUGAGGACACUUAAGUGUUGGCAAGCAUGCGGAGCAGCUCUGAGCUUCGCGUGUUGCUGAGGGCUAGGAUGCUUGGAAAUCUGUCACUUUCUGCCAGUUAUGUGCUUGUUCUGUGACUUUGCAGUCCCACCACUAGAUGUAAACCCAAGAGAAAUGAAUUUGUCUCCCCAUGAACAAGAUGUAAAAGAACCUUUGUUUAAAAGGCCCAAAGCUGGAGAGCAAUGCCUGUCAGCAGAGGACCUUCUAAUUUAUGGCACAGACACAUGGGGAAUUAUACAGCACGGGAAGGGAAUAAAUUACUGAUUGACCAAAGUCCACGCUUGAAGCCUGAGGACUCCCACCAGAAGGACUGUGCAGGUAGCUCAGUUGGUAGGGUGCUUGUCUAGUGCUUGGGAAGGCUUAGGUCCAGGCUCCAGCCCCAUGUUUAAACAGGCCUGUUUAUACAAGACCCUUUCUCAAAAGAAGAGGAGGAAGAGGGUGGUGACGAGUGGGUGAUGAUGAUGAUGGUGAUGGUGAUGAUGGUGGUGGUGGUGAUGAUGAUGGUGGAGUAGCUCCUUGCUUCUGUGAUGUUGGAGAACAGGCACCGUUGGUGUGGAUGCCUGGGUGGCAGGGUGGUGCAGCAGCAUCAGGACCACCAAGCCUCGGGAUCUGAGGCUGAUCCCUGAAUGCACUUGAUGGUGGAAGGAGAACUGACCUCCAUACUUGUCAAGUGCACCCACACGCACGCCAGUAGGUACGCACACAGGCAUGCAGUGAGUGUUUACAAAAGUCAAGAAAAACUGACGAUCAGAUUAACAGUGGAUAACCUGGAAACUUGCAGAGUGCAGAGGACAGCAUAUGGCAAGCUGGAAAAUGCUCCGUGUUUUAGUUCGGGUUUCUAAUGCUGUGAUAAAACACCAUGGCCAAAAAGGAGGAAAGGGGUUUCCUUCAGUUAGACUCCAUCAUUGAAGGAAGUCAGUGCAGGAACCUGAAGUCGGGAACUGACACCGAGGCCAUGAACAAGUGCUGCUGGCCGGCUCGCUCCUCGUGGGUUUCUCAGUCUGCUUUCUUACCACUUAGGACCACCCUCCCGGGGUUAGAACAAUCACAGUGGGUUGGGCCCUCCCCUGUCAAACAUUAAUCAGAAAAUACCCUAUAGAUUUGUUUACAGGUCAGUCUGAUGGAGGCACUUUCUCAGUUGAGGCUCCUCCUUCCAGGUAGCUCUAGCUUGUGUCACGUUGACUGAAACUCAGGAUUUUUGUUUUUGUUGUUUUAGAUUUAUUUUAUGUUAUGUUUAUGGGUGUUCUGCCUGCCUGCAUCUAUAUGUGUCAUGUAUAUGAGUGGUAUGUAUGGAGGUCAGAAAAAGGCUCUCAAUCCACUGGAACUGUAGGAAUAGCUAUGAGCCACCAUGGGUGCUACAAACUGAACCUGGAUACUUCAAAAGAGCAACAGCCUCUGGUAACUCAAUAUUUAAAGGUGUGUAAAACACAUGUGUUUGAAUUUGUACAAAUUCUCCAAGCAGUUGCAUAAGAUUGGUAUGCUUUGCACAUUUAAGUAUGAAUAUCAUUUCUUAAAACAACAACAACAACAAAAACCAAGCUAACAUUACUAGAUUAAGAUAAAGUAGAAAGUAGGACUUUUGUUUUGUUUUGUUUUUGAGUCAGGGUCUUACUAUGUAGCUUGGGCUAGGCAAGAAUUUGCUAUUUAGACCAGGCUGGCUUUCAAACUCAAGAAAUCCACUUGCUUCUGUCUCUUGAGUACUGGAAUUAAGAAUUUAGAAAAUUUUUAAAAUUCAGCCGGGCACACGCCUUUAAUCCCAACACUUGGGAGGCAGAGACAGGUGUAUUUCUAAGUUCCAGCACAGCCAGGGCUACACAGAGAAACUCUGUCUUGAAAAAAACCAAAAACCAAAAAACAAAAUUCAUUCAGAGUUAACAGGUGACCAAAUGAGCAAAGGUCAGGGAAGAAAAGAAACAACCCGGCAGAUGCACACACAGCACAGAUACACACGCACAUGUGCACACACGUGCACAGUACACUCAAACACCAGUUAAGACCCAGUAAAACAAAGAAAAAAAGAGGACGGUUUUGUGAAUAAACAAGACACACACCUAAUGAGAAACCUGAACAAAAGAAGAGAGAAUGGGGAGCGGUGAUAUAGAGCAGCAGAAGGAGGUGUGGCCUCACUAACAGGUGAUAUAGAGCAGCAGAAGGAGGCGUGGCCUUAUUGGCACAGGCAGGCAAGAAGUGCAAGCUAACAAAUAUUUGAAAGAGUGAAAAGUUGGGCCAGGAGAGGUGGCUCAGUAGUUAAGAGCAUGUGCUGCUCUUCCGGAAGACCUGAGUUUGGUUCCCAGGAUCCGCAUCAGGCGACUCACCACCUCCACUGGCCACUCCAGCUCCAGACAACGUAACAUUGACUUCUGUGGGCAGCCACACUCACAAGCACACACCAUGUGCAGACAAAUGCACUGAUGCACAUAAUGAAAAGUAAGUUUAAAUUUCCAAGAGUGAAAAGUCUGUUUAGAAAGUUUAGCCCACCUACAAGAUAAUAGUCAUCAUGAAACUGCAUGCAUUUACAGUAUCAUAUCAGGUCUGUGAAGCCGUAGGUAGCUGUUUGAAACACAAGAGCAUAAAGCCACAGGAUUGGCGAUAUUAACAAACUGCAAGAUUUAAUAAACCAACAGGCAAAAGAGUUCAUGGGAAAUAAUUAGAUAACAAAGAACACACUUGUUUUUGUAUUAAUAAAUAGAAUUUGGUACACAGAGAACAGACUGUUUAGUUGUUCAGCACUGUUGGUUCACUUAUAAGACAUUAUGUCAUUUGUUCACCAAGAAAAAUGUCCCAAGCCCAAGAGGCAGAAAUCAUAUUAUCCUCCUUCUCCACGAGGCGGUAGAAUGAACUUACAACCAGAAACUCUGUGAGAGCCUCAUAGAAUUCAAACACAGUGCCUUUUCUUUACCGUGUUAGGAUUUUUCUCAUGUUUGGCUUCUUGAGAUGAUUUAUUUAUUUUCAUCCGUGUUUUUAUUAAGAGGAACUAGAAAAGAAAGGUAAGGAGCACUGCCUGCUGUAGUCCCUCGGAAGAGAUGCCUGAGAUGAGGAAGUGGUGACUCAGGCUCAAAACUCCACACACAUAGCCAUAGUUUCCCAAACAGGGCUUACCAGUUCCCUCUCAGGGUGGCCACUCAGAUCGCCUUCAUUUCCGUAUAUUCAGUACCACAGCUAGACUUUUCUUUUCUUUUCUUUUUUUUUUUUUUUUUUUAAGUCAGGGGUCUCAUGCUGCCCAGGCUGGCCUAAAACUGACUGUGUAGUUGAAGCUGUCCUUGAACUCCUGAUGCUGCUGUCCUGUCUUUACCUCCCGAUUCUUAUAUCACACCUGCACAUCAUUCCACACCCAGUAGAAAUGCUUGCUCGUUCCUCCCCCUGGUCAUGAUUGUGAAAACAUUAGUUGUGCUUGCACAGGUAUGUCCUAGUUUGUUUUUUGUUCUGGUAAUAAAACACUGACCAAGGGCUGGAGAGAUGGCUCAGCGCUUAAGGAUACCAGCUGCUCUUCCAGAGGGCCAGGGUUCAGCAACCAAGUGGAGGCCCACAACUCUCUGUUAACUCUAGUUCCAAGGACUCUGAUGCCCUAUCUAGUUUCCACUGGAAUUCACAUGGUAUGCACACAUACAUGCAAGCAGAACACUCAUGCAUAAAAUUUAAAACAACAACAAACACAGGCCAAGAGCAACUUGAGGAGGAAAGAAUUUAUUACAGAAUCUCACAGGUUACAAUAUUCUCAUCAAGGGAUGUUAGGGCCCUUGGCUUCCUCAGCUACCUUCUUUAUACUGCCUAAGCCUACCUGUCUAGGGAAUGGCACCACCCACAGUGGGCUGGGCCCUCCUAUGUCAAUUAGCAAUUGAAAUGCUUUAUAGGCCUGCCCACAAGUCAAUCAAGACCACUGCUCCAUUGACCUCUUCCCAGAUGGGUCGGAGGAUACCAUGUGAGUCAGUUCUCCUACUCUGAAAGUGCCAGGCAUCAAACGCAGGUCGUCGGGCUUGAUGGCAAACACCUCUACCCACUGAGCGCCUCCGUCUCUUUACCUUGACCUUGCUGGUUGAUUUUUACGUGCCCUUUCUAUGUUACAAAUAUUAAUUCUUUGUCAUGCUUGUAAACAUUUCCUCCUUUUCCUUGCCUUUUGCAUUGCUUAAUAAAUAAAAUUAUUAUACAAUCAUUUCUAUAAUUUUUCUGAUAUUCCUUUUUUCUAUUAAGAGGUUCCUUCUCUAUAAUUUUUUAAUAGUCAUAAUAAUAAUUACAGUUACGGCUAACACUUACUAAGCCUGAUGAGAUGUUGGGCAAUGAGCACAGCCCCCUUUUGAGUUGAGGAUUUUUACUUUUAUUUUGAUUUGGUUUUUAAUCUUCUCGCAAUUGAGAAAGAAACUAAGAGUGAUUCGUUUGUCUGUGAACAUGGAGCUGGUGAUGAGUAUUCUCCAGGGUUUCUUUUAGCUCUUUUUUUUUUUUGUCUGUCUGUCUGUUUGUUUGUGUAUUUAACACGCACAGUUUACUCCACGCCCCCCCCCAUCCUCCGGCUGUUCCACAUCCCAUAUCCCGCCUUAUCCCGCCUCCAUGGGGAUGUCCCCACCCCCCUUAUUUUAGCUUUUAUAUUUAACUUCUUGAGCUACAGUCUGUGAAGUUGCAUAGGUGACUCUGACUCUCCUCUCAGACAUUGUCAAGCAUGUCCUUCAAUGAAUAAAUCAUUGUUUGUCAUCCUUCUCAUAUCUUCUUUUAUAUUAAAAUUUAAUGUACAACCAAGGUCUCUUUCAGAGAUGUCCAUUCGGUUCUUAUUGACCUGUGCACUCUUACAUGGGAGCCACUGUGUUUUAAUUGUGGUGUCUUCAUGAUGAAAUUUAAUAUGUAUGAACCAGGAAUCCCCCAUCACUCUCUUAAAGAUUCAUUCAGCAUGCUGGUUUCCAGUGCUGAUGGAGAAGCUAGUGUCAGAAUAAUAUUCCCAACCAUGAAACGCUCGAGAUUUGGAAAGAAAGUAUUUUUAAAAGAUUGAAGGUACUAAAAAACCACCAAAGGUAAGUAUACAUUUGAAUAGGUUUGAUUCAUGAAGGCAGAAGACUGUCUAAGAAGCCACUUUCGGGGGACUUCUUGAAGCAUUCCCUCCACCAUCUGAGUGAGAAGACAGAACUCAAGCAGAAAGCUGAGUUAUUCAUCUGAACUGGGGAUAAGCUUUAAGUCUGACGCGGGACUGGGGCUUGAACGGAGAGUCAAAUGUGAGAGCUGUGAAGGUGACAGCCCACAGUCUUGCCCGGUGGCCUGCCUGUGCAUCUUGGAAGCACCACCAAGCCCAGUAGGGACCUUAGGGAUAGCCACUCUUGGAGAGGCAGAAUUCAGGGUCUGGGCAUUGUCAAGGCCACAGAGGUGGGCUCUUAAACCCCAAAAGGGACACUCCUGAGUUAGCCAACUUGAAAGAGAAGCCAGGAUCUCAUCAGCUUUCCUUCAUUCAAAAUUAGAAUCUACUGGAAGGGAACAGAAUCCCGUGAUCUUUGCCAAAGCAGAAAGCUUUUUGAUAUUAGCAUACCUAGGACUAACGAGAGCUUUGAAAGAUGUUAAAGAAUUUACAUCAAAGUGAAUGAAAGGAUGAGUCUGACCGGGUUGGGGCCCAGUGAGAUAGGGGCUCAUUGCUAGGGGUUCAUUGCCAGGGGCUCAUUGCUAGGCUUGACCCCGAGACCCACAUGGUGGAAGGAGAAAAUCAACUGUGCAAGUUGUUUCUGACCUCUACGUGUGGUCCCAACACAUUAACAUAGACAUAAAAUAGAUUCACAUUGAAAAGAAAAUUCAUCUCUGUCUAGUGCCAUCCUCCUUGAAACUUGUGCCCCAGGAGAGGAAAUGGCAGAAGACGCAAAUUUACAGGCUGAAGCAUAAGAGAAGGAUGAGGCCGAGGUCGAAGUAAACCAGCCUGUGCCCCGACCAAGCCUGGGGGAGCAGAAGGAAAGGAUGCCUCGGGCUGGGACGCUGGUACAAGUUGUUGGACUGUGUGCUGUGUCUGUGCAGGUCUCAGUGGACCUGGAAAACCAUCUCACCAAGAUCACCCAGGAAGCCGACUGCCUCCCUACAACCAAGACAGUCCCACUCUCUCUGCCUUGGACCGUUGGCAUUCUGGACUGGUUGGUUCUGUUCUCACUUGUGUCCAAGUGUAAGUUAUAUACAAUAAACCAUCUUUCUCACUGUCUCAGAUGAAGACAAAGGAAAAGGAAAAAAAAAAAAGGAAACCAACUGGGUGAGUUUGGCAGCAGAUUGGACACACAGAAGAAAGGAUCUGUGAUUCUGAAAACAGGCAGUAGAGAACACCACAGAGAAAGUACACAGAGGGAAGAUAGAUUGGGAAUGUAGGACUAGAUAUUGCCCAAAGUCAUGUUGACUGUCAGGGUAAUUUCAGUCCCCCAAACGGAAGAGGAGUGGGGCAGAAAAAGUUACGUGAAGUUGUGAUUAAAAACAAAACCACAUGAAGAGAAGUCCAGGAAGUGUGGCGGGACAUGACAGGACCACAUGUGUGCUUAGAACUUUUAGUUACUUUCUGUGCCUGAGUGUGGCAGUCAAAAGACAGCUCAUGAAAGUCAGUUCUUUUCUCCUACCAUAUGGGUGCUGGCAAGGAACUCAUGUCAUAAGGUUUGGUGGGAAGCACCCUUACCAUCACCAGCCUGCUAUCACCAUUUUGAGGAUACUUACUACUCAAUGUCUGCCUUGGUUUCUGAUUUUUGAGUCAACCAUAGUUCUGGUCAUUGUUCCCUUUGUCUUUAUUAUUCAUGUAUGUAUGUAUGUAUGCAUGUGUAUAUAUGUGUGUGCAUGUAUAUAUGCAUGUAUGCAUACAUGCAUUAUGUAUGUAUAUAGUUUAGGGGUGCUGAGGCACAGUGUUUGCACAAACAAGGCGCAUGCUCUACCACUAAGCCAUACCUCCAGUCCUAACAAGCAGAGCGGCACAUCCUGGCAAGACAUUGAGACUGCUGAGCCGAGCUGCAUGUUCUAGGAGGAGCAGAGUGAGUGAAGAACCCCAAAUCUUUGCCUUACUGAGCUUGCAUCCCAAUGGCAAGGAGGAAGCGAGCCGCAGCGAGCACAGUAAAGUUCAGAGUCAGUGUGGGCAGAGUAAGGGCACUAGACUUCUCAGGAAUGAUCAGGAAAGGCCCUGUAAAGUGACAUUUUGAGAGACACUUGAAGAAAUGAGGAAGCAAACCUCAUGCAUUUUUAGAGAGAAAGAAUUCUAUGAAAAGGGAAGGACUGGUGCCCGAGGAAGAAGUCGUAUGGAGUGAAUUCCAGGAACAGGAAAGCGUGCUGUACGGACAGGGUAGGCAGUGGUUCGAGGCAGGCUCGCUGUGCUUUAGGAGGAUUGCUCCCUCUGAGGAGUUUGGACUUGUUCUGAAGACUUUGGGAAUCAUCAGUUUUACACAGAUGGGUGAUGCUUUAGUAGGCUCAACCUGACGGCCAUGUCAAGAAUAGACCGUUGCUGGUGCACGCCAUUAAUCCCAGUGCUUGGGAGGCAGAGGAAGGCAGAUCUCUGAGUUUGAGGCCAGCCUUAUCUACAGAGUGAGACCUUGUCUUUAAAGAUUAAUAAUAGUAAUAAUAACAAUACUACCCCCACCAGGAAGACAAUAAUUGUCAUUGCAGAGAUGAUCUGAUGUUCACUAAAAUAGAAUGGAAAAAAACCAAACCAAACCAACCAAACAGCAGAAACACGCCCCACCCAAGCUAUUUAAUAACUAGGAAAGAGAAGAUAGCAACUAUAUCAAGAAACCCAUUGCAAGCUACCAUAAAAAACAAUAGACAAAAUCACACCAAAAA
Long non-coding RNA from Mus musculus (house mouse), 7944 nucleotides. RefSeq annotates it as predicted gene, 42351. The record is from RefSeq and is a predicted model, not a curated record. Lineage: Eukaryota; Metazoa; Chordata; Mammalia; Rodentia; Muridae. The transcript has 2 exons.